Molecule: long non-coding RNA, 509 nt
Filed under: Mus caroli (Ryukyu mouse)
Lineage: Eukaryota; Metazoa; Chordata; Mammalia; Rodentia; Muridae
Description: lncRNA (MGP_CAROLIEiJ_G0006066.1)
Source: RNAcentral
UCGCUUCACUGGGGUGGAGUUAGUGGAUAAAAGGCAGAGAGCUGAGCUGGGAAAUGACUUCCCGUCCCUUCUGCCCUCACAGAGUGCUCCUUAGUCUUCUGUGUGGUUCAAGUCAGCUGCCAUCCCGUAAGAAAGAGAAACCAGACACGAGAAGUUCAGCGUAUUACAGGACGACCACAACACAGUGGUGGCGGCAAGGAAAAACAAAUCACCACAAUGAACAACAACAUCAUCCCUGCCCUGAAAAGGAUCGUAAGCCUCUCACCAGAUGCUGUGAAUCCCGAACUCACAGAUUCCCAUAAGCAGAGGAUCUACUUUAACACGUCCCGAGGGUGGGUUGACAUACGAACCACACAGCCAAACAACUGAAGGCAGCUGAAGAAAACGCCAAUGAAGAGAGUUCUGCAGAACAUGUUCACUUAGUGGAAACAGUAAGACGUGUGCGUGCCCACAGACACACGCAGAAGGACUGGCAUCACCAAAAACAAUAAACCCUAAAGUCAGAUCCA